GUGGCCAGAGGGGUGUCGCUAAGGCAAAACACGCUGGGCUUCAUGGUGGAAAGCCCGUGUUGGCUUUGUGGUUUGCUGCAUCCAGAAGGGAGGUGCAGUAAGAAAAAUAGUGGUGCAGGAAUUAAAACCUUUGGGUCUGGUGGCCCAAGCCCACGCGUGAGGGGCAAGGUUUGAAGGGAGUAGAGUCAGCAACAAUUCAUUUCACAUUUUCAUCGUGUUUUCCACUCUCUCCCUCUCAAAAUUCUCAUCGCCAGAGAAAUGCUCCACCAUGCCGGAAGUCGCUUCCGGCGGCGGAGCUCUUCCAACCCAUGAAAAUCAACUAUCAGAAAACUCGUCUUGUGUCGUCUUCCCCAAAUCUUGUAUUUGUUUCACCAAAUUUUUCCUAAUCUCUCCAGAUUACCCAAAUUAAUUGAAGAACCCUAAUAUUUCAUAGUGAAAUUAAAUGGAAGUGAAGGCCCGAAAUGAAAUGAAACCAUAGGGGUUUGGUUCCUCUACUUCAAGGUUACAUUGUGGUAACGAAAUUUAAGCAAGAAGAAGAUGGAACAGAAGGAACUACCAACCUACAAGGAGGAGGUAGGCUUGGAACACGUUUAAUGUGAAGCUGAUGAAGAUGGAGCAAGAAAUCAAGAGGAUCUUCAAUUAGGACUAUUAGGCAUAUGAGGUGGCUUGCCAUGGGAUGGCAUAACACACAUGGUUCAUGAAGGUUUAAUCAAAGCAUAUGAAGGAUAUUGAGAUCAUAGAAGCACUUUGAGGCACAAGGAUAAAAGACAUAUGAGAGUCAAGACCAAAGAACUUUGUUAGAGUUCUAGGAUAGUGACUUUGGUCAAUUGUUUGACCAAAAAGUCAAUAAUUGACCCAAAAGUCAACAAUUGGCAAAAAAUCAACCGUUGACCAAAAGUCAGUAUUUGACCAAAAGUCAAUUAUAGGUCAAAAUGAUGUAAUUAUGUUUAGAAUUUGAUUUUUGGAUGUUGUAAUGAAUAUUUGAAUGUUUUUGUAAUGGAAAUUGGCCUCUUGGAAUGAAAUGUAAUUUGUGUUUCAAGAAUAAA
Lathyrus oleraceus (garden pea) is the source of this 1046-nucleotide long non-coding RNA. RefSeq lists it as uncharacterized. Lineage: Eukaryota; Viridiplantae; Streptophyta; Magnoliopsida; Fabales; Fabaceae. The transcript has 2 exons. The record is from RefSeq and is a predicted model, not a curated record.